CUUCACCAUGGAUGCACUGGUGGGUAAGGAGGGAGACCUUGUACUCACCCCUGAGUGAGACAGAAAGCCAGUGGAGUGAUUUGAGGAUGGGGGAGAUGUGCUCAUGUUUGCUCACCCUCAACAGGAUCCUAGCAGCGCUGUUCUGUAUAUACUGCAAUUUCUGGAGGCUUUUCUCAGGGAUCCCGAUGAGGAGCGCAUUGCAAUAGUCCAGCCUGGAGGAGACAAAAGCGUGGACAAGCUUUUCCGCAUCUGCAGGAGUGAGUGUGGGACGGAGUUUGGCGAUGGCGAGGUGGAAGAAGGAGGUCUUGCAGAGAUGUUUGAUGUGAGCCUCAAAGGUCAGAUGGGAGUCCAAUUUAACACCUAGGUUGGUGACUGAUGUUGAAAGUGGAAUAUUUUGGCCGGAGAAGGUGAUGCUGGUAAUGUCAGAUGACCGAACCUGGUGUGGGGUGCCGACUAAGAGCUGUUUAGCUGCAGAAAGUUUUGCUUCAUCCACGGCUUUAUCUCCUCCAGGCAGGUGGUCAGAGUGGAUGAUGGCAGGGCAGCAGAGGGGGUUGUGUUUGUCCUGAGGUAGAGUUGAGUGUCAUCAGCAUAACAGUGGAAUGAAAUUCCAUGCCGGCUGAUGACAUGGCCAAGGGGGAGCAUGUAGAUAAUGAACAGGGUGGGGCCGAGCACUGAGCUUUGAGGGACACCACAGGUGACAUUGUGUGUCAGGGAUUUAGCCGCUCCCAAGGCGACAUGCUCAGUUCUCCCGGUGAGGUAGGAUGAGAACCACUGAUGGACGAGGUCAGAAAGACCGAUAGUGGAAUGUAGACGGUGGAGGAGGAUGUUGUGGUCCACAGUAUCACGCUGCAGUCAAGUCCAGGAGAAUGAGAAGAGAUAGGGAGCCAGCGUCUGCAGUCAUCAGUAGGUCAUUUGUGACCAUGACCAGGGCUGUUUCUGUGCUGUGGCCAGGGCGGAAACCAGAUUGAAAUUUCUCGAACAGGUUGUUUUGUUUUAGAUGGUCCUGAAGCUGUGCGGCAACUACUUUUUCCAGCACCUUGGAAAGGAAUGGAAGGUUGGAGAUGGGCCUGUAGUUGGCAAAGACUUCUGGGUCUUGGGUGGGUUUUUUGAGAAAUGGCCUGAUGACAGCGGUCUUCAGUGUUGAUGGAACAUGGCCAGACCGAGGGAGUGGUUAAUGACCUUUGUGAUGAGGGGACUUAUGGCAUGGAGGUUGGAUUUUACCAGGGCUGUGGGGAAGGGGUCCAGGGCACAGGUGGAUGGUUUCAUCUUUUUGAUGAUGUCCUCAACUUCUCGCUGUGAGAUGGCAAAAAAACAGCUGAGAGGUUGGGAAAUCCCAGGCUGUGGGUCAGCAGUCGGGACAGGCAGUGUGGAGAAACUGGAUGGCAGGGAGCGGAUGGUGUCUACUUUUUUUCUGAAAAAAGGUGAUGAAGUUGUUGCACCUCUCAUCUAUGGCUUCUGAAUGAGAGUGAGUUUGCGGUUUAAGGAUGUAAUUUAUGGUAGAAAAAAGUUGCUUGGAGUUGCCAGGGCUGUUAUUGAUAAUGUUGGAAUAGAACUGUGAACGUGCAUCUCUCAAGGACCUUGAAUAGGACUUCUGAUGUUCUCGGUAGGCCUGUCUAUGAACAGAGAGUCCUGAGGCCUUGAGGCGCCGCCCAAGGACACGCCCAGCUAAUUUCAUUUGCCGGAGUACGUAGGUGUACCAGGGGGCUGAGCGGAAGAAGCUGACAGUUCUAGUUUUGACAGGGGCGUGGAGAUCUAAGAGACUGCUCAGUGAUUGGUUGUAGAAGGCAACCGACUCAGUGCAUGAGAAGAAAUCAGCAGAAGAGAGAUGUUGGAGGUCUAUGGCAAAAGUGUGUAUCCGGGUUGAUCUUUUCCAGGUCCCUAUAGCAGAUUUGACGCUUGUCUUUGGUGUGUGGGGAAAGGAGUGGCAGCUCCAUUGAGAUGAUCUUGGCCAGAUCAUUCGCCAGAAGGUUGCUAAUAGGGGUGGAGUUGGAAAUGACCAGGUCCAGUGUGUGCCCCCUGGAGUGUGUGGGGACAUCGACGUGUUGUUGGAGGUUGAGGCAGUCCAGUAAAUUCAGCUGCAAAGUGGCAGGAGGGGUUGUCUACAUGCAUAUUAAUAUCUCCAAGUAUAAUAAUGUUGGCAGAGGUGGUGCAGAGUGUUGUGAGAAGGUCAUGUAUCUCUGAGAUGAAAGCUGAGUUGGGUUUGGGGGGCCGGUAGACGAGGAGCAUUGUCAUGGGGAAGGGGGUUUACAUUUGAAUGCUAGGCAUUCAAAUGAGGACAGUGUAGGCAGGGGGAGAGGAGACAGUUCCAAGAUCUGUCGGUGGAUGACAGCUAGGCCGCCACCACGACCAGUGCUGCGGGCUCUCUCCAGAUAGCUGUAACCGGGGGGGACAGACUUCAUUAAGUGCUGAGUAAAUCCCUGGCUGGUGCCAUGUUUCUGUCCGGCACAUGAAGUCUAAUCCCUUGUCCAUGAUGUGAUCUUGCAUGAAGGAUGCUUUAUUUGUGAGGAAUUGCGUGUUGAAAAGUUAUAUUUUGAGUGUUGAUGCUGUGGUGGAUCUCUGUAGAGGCCGUAGUACACUGUAAUCCACUACAUGUUUUCUGGCUUGCUUGGUGUAGCGAGAUCUCGCGGUGUUUCCCAAGCUGCUCAAUCGAGUGUGCAGAGAUCUCGCGAUGUUUCCCGUGUUGCUAGCACCGAGAGCGACACUGCUCUGAUGACGCGGCAGACGUGCGACAGUAGUCCAGAUGGAUGGAAUGUUUGAAGCAGGCUGGCCAGGCUGAUGGUAAACAAACUUUUGACGGGAACCUCUGUGGAUGUAACGUGGACGACGAUGAAUUCCAAGUUCUUUGAUGGCUGCAAUGCACUUUGGAAUGGAGCGGUUGUUGAAAGUUAGCAGCUGUGGGAUAGAGUACUUGAGCUUCAUGCCGG
Gasterosteus aculeatus aculeatus (three-spined stickleback) is the source of this 2924-nucleotide long non-coding RNA. The record is from Ensembl. NCBI's taxonomy places the organism in Eukaryota, Metazoa, Chordata, Actinopteri, Perciformes, Gasterosteidae.